GCUGUUAAGGGUUCGUAGUUGAAUUGGGGGAAUUGGGGUAAACAAAGGCAUCUCGCCUCUUCCGGGAGACUCAACCAUUGACACUCCUUUCCCGAGAACAUAUGAAACGAGAAUCACGGGUCGUUUUCCCCGAAUCGCGUGCAAUGUACGUAGGGGACGUCCGUGUUUAUUACUGUGCAAAAGAAGGGUGACCAAAGCAGUCAUUCGAGAUGAAUUAGAAAGCAUGGAAUAACAAAGCGCAGCCUGUGGGCUCCAUUUUGGCUUUUGUUGGUUUUAGAGGUCCGUGGGAGAUUGUGGGCCCGCGGCCCGGCUGCACGGGAUUCGCUCCCGACAGUCCUCUGUGUUGGCGCAAGCCUUCGCGACUUGCUGGGUCUAGGAAUGAAGGAGGGUUGUUCGGGGGAGAACGUACUUGAGCGUGGAGGUGAAAUUCUUAGACCGCGCAAAGACGAACUACAGCGAAGGCAUUCUCCAAGGUACCUUCCUCAAUCAAGAACCAAAGUGCGGAGAUCGAAGAUGAUUAGAUACCAUUGUGUCCGU
RNAcentral lists this ribosomal RNA (537 nucleotides) under uncultured kinetoplastid. RNAcentral describes it as "bacterial SSU rRNA". It matches the Rfam family "Eukaryotic small subunit ribosomal RNA", at positions 615 to 1028 of the family's 1831-position model. Lineage: Eukaryota; Euglenozoa; Kinetoplastea. The record is from RNAcentral.